Molecule: long non-coding RNA, 336 nt
Filed under: Elaeis guineensis (African oil palm)
Lineage: Eukaryota; Viridiplantae; Streptophyta; Magnoliopsida; Arecales; Arecaceae
Description: long non-coding RNA (EGUI_LNC025473)
Source: RNAcentral
UGUAUUUGAAUUUUUAGCUUAAUUUUCACCGAUCAGGAGAUCUUAUCUCUAUACUUGAAUUUUCAGUCUAAUUUUCAUCGAUCGAGAGAUCUUAUCUCUAUAUUUGAUUUUUAGCUCGAUUUUUCACCGAUCAGGAGAUCGUAUCUCCGUAUUUGAAUUUUCAAUUCGAUUUUCAUCGACCAAGAGAUCUUAUCUCCACAUUUAAUUUUUGACUCGAUUUUUAAUCGAUCGGGAGAUCUUAUCUUCGCUCUUACUUUUUGGCUCAAUUUUCAUAAGUCAGGAGAUCUUAUCUCUGUAUUUUACUUUGAGACUUUUCAGAUUGGUGUUACCGCCACC